CCAGAGUUCUUUACUCUCCAACCCCAUGUGAACAUACCAUCGUUUCUUCGGCGGACCACGCCCCGGCGCCCUCGGGCCCGGACCAGGCGCCCGCCGGAGGUCCUGAAAACACUGAUUGCCAAUUGUGGAUUAUCUCUGAACCACGGCGUUUUGCGCCGAAAACGAAUCA
This 169-nucleotide unclassified non-coding RNA is filed under the name uncultured Ascomycota. RNAcentral describes it as "sequence contains ITS1". The record is from RNAcentral. Lineage: Eukaryota; Fungi; Ascomycota.